This 346-nucleotide ribosomal RNA is filed under the name Escherichia coli. Its description in RNAcentral is "bacterial LSU rRNA". It matches the Rfam family "Bacterial large subunit ribosomal RNA", at positions 1246 to 1595 of the family's 2925-position model. Lineage: Bacteria; Pseudomonadati; Pseudomonadota; Gammaproteobacteria; Enterobacterales; Enterobacteriaceae. The record is from RNAcentral.
GCCUGUGAAGGUGUGCUGUGAGGCAUGCUGGAGGUAUCAGAAGUGCGAAUGCUGACAUAAGUAACGAUAAAGCGGGUGAAAAGCCCGCUCGCCGGAAGACCAAGGGUUCCUGUCCAACGUUAAUCGGGGCAGGGUGAGUCGACCCCUAAGGCGAGGCCGAAAGGCGUAGUCGAUGGGAAACAGGUUAAUAUUCCUGUACUUGGUGUUACUGCGAAGGGGGGACGGAGAAGGCUAUGUUGGCCGGGCGACGGUUGUCCCGGUUUAAGCGUGUAGGCUGGUUUUCCAGGCAAAUCCGGAAAAUCAAGGCUGAGGCGUGAUGACGAGGCACUACGGUGCUGAAGCAACA